GUAGCUACAGGCUUCAAAUUUAGACCACAUGCAUAGGAUUGUGUACCGAAACAAACUUUGACCUUGAAAUUGGUCUAGUGACCUACUUUCACAUUUCUCAAGCUACAGCUUUCAAAUUUGGACCACAUGCAUGGACCACAUGCACAGUGUUGUGUACGGAAAUGAAAUUUGACCUUGAGCUAGUCAAUAAGUCUUGAAAUUUGGAACACUCAAAAAUGGCACAUUGGUGGGCGCAAAGAUCACUCUGUGAUCUCUUGUGUUUCAGAGAACAUGAUGAUUUGUUGGUGAAUACGGAUUGAAAAUUAUAAGUUUGAAAAUGAAAUAGAGUAGAACAGUGUUUGUGGUCUUAUAAACCAGUGAAACCUAAAAAAGGUUAUUCCAUAACUCCGCAUAAUGCUGGAGAGAUGGUAUGGUACCAUGAGAAUCCAAAACUAUGCACUAUUGUAUUCCAUCAUCUCAAGACGCUGGUAGAAAUGUUGAGGGCUAUAUUUAGACAUGACUUCAAGGAAGUCGUCAGCUAAGUAGACGCUCUUGGACAGAUGGCAGGUCUAUCCGAGGGGCGAUUUGAAAGUUUGAAGGAGGAGUUCUUAUAGCGAGGGUUGGUGACAAAUGAGUUGUUAAGUUACUCACGGUCUCCAACAUUUCAGUCUUAGUCUGGAAUCACAGGAAAUCUUUAUGGACUUGAUGCUGAAGUUUGAUCUCUGCUAUCAGGUGAAGAAUCCUACAAGUGCGCCAGGAACUUUGGGUUCAAAACAAAUUCUCCAGUUUCCAUGGUUCCUUACAUUUACUCCGCCUGAAGAUUUUGCCACAAGAUGGCCAGAAAUGGAUUAUUGUCAGACCUUGUAAUGGCACGGAUUGCAGCUAAGUUAGGGUUUUAGCAGAACAGAAUGGCAUUAGAGCUCAGACUGACCCAGGCUAAUAUAGAACAAAUCCAGAUCAGCCAUAAAUAUGAGGGAGCUCACAAAAUGAUACUUAGCACCCUGCUUAAGUACUGAUGAAGAGAAGAUUGAGAUUCUGAUGCAAGUUAUAUGAGAUAGCGACUGGAAUGAUCUGGCUGAUGAAUUAAUGGCUCAGUAUAUACAUAUCUGUAUGGAGAGGACCACACUGGUUGUGAUCAUGAAGACCUGUGCAGGGAUAAUGAUGUUCGGGAGGUAUCAGAUGAAGGCAGUAUUCAUGUAUCAAAAGCAGAUACCACCUCCUCAAGUACAAGACCUAGUUAUGGAAAACACAUCAGUCAGUAAGAUGAAUCAGAGUGAAAUAUAUAACAGGAUAGCAGCUGGGAGAUUUGCCCUUCUAAAUAGCAACAGCAGUGAUAGUGGUACAUACUGUCGACACAGGGAUCUGUGGGUAAAGAAUUCCAUGUGUUGGUAGAAACUUACAAUGAAACCACCAAUCACCAACACUCCCUAGACCAGAGCAAACUAUUGAGUGAGUUAGGCAGAAGCUGCAGUUCCAGGCAUAUUAUGCUGUAGAGUAGCUGCUCUCAUUGCCGAUGUCCAAAAUCUUGAAGUUCUAAUUAUAACAAAUAUUGAUGGGGGCCAAAAUUGAAGUGUACCCUGCUACCUUAUUAUUGGAAUAUCUAAAUCUGGUUGUUGUAGCCAAAGCUCAGGUUUCUUGCAGCAGCCCUUAUCCACCUGGUCUUCGUUUACAUUUGAACUACAUCCAGGAUUUGUCACAGCUCUAGGAGGAAGAAGGACUACAUAUCUGUGGAAGAAUCAGAAAACUACUCCAGACUUGUUGCCUUGACAGACGUUUAUUGGAAAUUUGAACAAUGACUGAAUACUUUGAUGAGUAGCAAAAAAAAAUUCAUUGUUGAUGAAAGUGUUUCUGUGGCAAGAUUGACCGGGCCAAUGUUAAUCUUUAGAAAUACAGAGCUGCCAAUGCUGUAAUUUUCUCCAUGUCCAAAAGUGCUUGUCUUCAGCAGCAAAGAAAGAGAAAUUGUACUGGGCCAACACCAUAAGGAGACAAUCUUGUUUGAUUUGUGUGUCUGUGGUUGAAAGGGACUACCUCGCAGAAGGAUGUUUUACAUUAAUAUUCUUAUAGUGGAUUUUGAUUACACUUGAAAGAAAUGUGUAUGUUCAAGAAACAUUGAUUAGUUAGAAAUGUUGUUUGAUUUCCUGUCUGUCAUAAAAGUAAAAAUUAGUUGUUUACAAACAACGGUGCACAAUAACUGACAUGAUAAACUGUAUUGAUAUAAGUAUUAUGAUUAAGUACAUUAUAUUAAAUUCAUAUAUUCUUUGGAAAUUAAAGGAUGUGUUAAUUUCUAAAAUUUCCAUUGUUCUGUUGCUGACUGUUAUAGGAAUGGUCUCCGUCCAUCCAUCCUUCCGUCUGUCCGUCCGUAACACUUUCCUGUCCACUCCAUACCUCCUUAACCCCUUGAAGGAUUUUCAUGAAACUUGGGUCAAAUGGUCACCUCAUCAAGAUGAUGUGCAGAACUCGAGUCAGCCAUGUUGGCUCAAGGUCAAGGUCAGAACUCUGGGUCAAAGGUUUGAGCCUUCCAUUUUGUGAUCACUCUGAAUCUCCUAAACCCCUUGAAGGAUUUUCAUUAAACUUGGGUCAAAUGAUUACCACAUUAAGAACUCAUGAUUCAGCUAUGUCAACUCAAGGUCAAGGUCACAACUCGAGGUCAAAGGUUUGAGCUGUGUAUCUCGUAAACCCCUUGAAGGAUUUUCAUCAAACUUUAAUAGAAGUCACCUUAUCAAGAUGAUGUGCAAACUCAUGAGACAGUCAUAUCAGUUCAAGGUCAAGGUCAAAGGUUUACCCUUUCACUAUCCAUAACAGUGACGGGAUGGGGGAUUUAGCUGUCUUUCAGACUGCCAUGUAAAGAUUUGAAAAUAUGAACAAUUGUAGGGUUAACGAACGU
This is a long non-coding RNA of Mercenaria mercenaria, 2863 nucleotides long. RefSeq lists it as uncharacterized. The transcript is spliced from 13 exons. NCBI's taxonomy places the organism in Eukaryota, Metazoa, Mollusca, Bivalvia, Venerida, Veneridae. The record is from RefSeq and is a predicted model, not a curated record.